UAGGCUCUGUUUGGCCUAGCUUUCUAAAAGUAAUUUCCAGCUCAGAAUCACUUUUGGGCUCUGUAGAGCGUUUGGCAACCGAAGUUGAAAAAAAUUUGAUUCUGUUUUUUAGAAUCAGAAAACUGAUUUUGAAUGCUCCAGAAUCAGAAAUAGAAAAAAAUUACUUCUUGAAAUUUGAUUUUGAUUUUGGACUCAAAAUUCAAUUUUUUAUUUUAAUUUUAGAUUCAAUGUUUAAAUUUAAAUUUAAUUCUAAUUUUUAAAUUUUAAAUUCAUAUUUAAAUUUUUAAAUUUAAACUUUUCGAAACUAAAAUUUAAAAUUUAGAUUUUAAACUUUAAAUUUUAAAUUUUAAUUUUAAAUUUCAAAUCUCAAAUUUUAGAUUUUAAAAUUUUAAAUUUUAAAUUUCAAAUUUCAAAUUUAAGAUAAAAUUUAAAAUUUGACUUUUUAGAUUUUAAAAUCUAAAUUUAAAAAUUUUAAAAAUUACAAUUUAAAAUUACAAGUUUUAAUCUUCAAAUUAUAAAUUUCAAAUUUUUAAAAUUAAAAUUUUAAAUUUUAAAUAUUCAAAUUUUAAAUUUUAUAAAUUUUAGAUUUCAAAUUUUAAAAUUUAAAUUUAAACUUUAAAAUUUGAAAUUUAAAAUUAGAUUUAAAAAUUCAAAUUUUAAUUUUAAAAUUUUUAAAAUUUUAAAUUAUUUUUUGAAUUAAAAAAUCAAAUUUUAAAUCUUGAGCAAUUUUGAAAUUUAAAAAUUUAAUUUUAAUUCAAAUUUAAAUAUAAAUUUUAAAUUAUUUUAAAAUAAAAUUUAAUAAAAAUAUUAAUUUAUGCAAAAUCAAAAAAAUUUUGACAAACAGCUUUAUAAAAUCACUUCAGAAAAAUUACUUUUAUCUAUAUUUAGCCAAACGCUCUAUAACUUUUAACUAAAAUCACUUUUCCAAAUUAAAAUCACUUUUUCAGAAAAUUAUUUUUCCAAAAUUUAGGCCAAACAGGGCCGUACUCAAAUAUACCACGUAUAGUUUGAUAUACUUAUAAAUUAUAAAGUAUAAUUAAAUAUACCAUGUUAGAUCUAACCCUUUAAUUAUUUUCAAUCGUUAGAUUAUACUAUUCAACCAACUACCCAUUCAACCCUAGGGGGCCCACAUCAUCCUAACCGCACAUCUUUUGAUUCAAUUGUCAAAAAUCUAUAAGUACCAAUAACUUAGUAUUUUUAAAAGCAUAGGAGCUCAAUUUUAUAU
This 1225-nucleotide long non-coding RNA is filed under the name Ananas comosus (pineapple). RNAcentral's name for it is "long non-coding RNA (ACOM_LNC005906)". The record is from RNAcentral. Lineage: Eukaryota; Viridiplantae; Streptophyta; Magnoliopsida; Poales; Bromeliaceae.